AACAGAAGAUAGGAAAGAAUGAAUUAAGCUGGGAGAUCCCAAGUUGGAAGAGAUCUAUUUUAAGCAUUGUCCUUUUCAACAUAACGUGGGUCUUUUUACUUCUCAUGUAGUAUGACUCCUUAUGGUGACAAAGAUCAGUGGGACUUCCAGUGCAGUUGGUGUGCAACCUGUGGAGAGUUCCUGGUCUGCCAAGAGACUGGGCAGGCAGGGGAUUUCCCUGGCUGGAUGGAUAUACCCUGAGACACAUACAGGUGGAUAGCAUUUGAACUCUCCUAACAGCAGGUGAGCAGCAUGAUUCCAUAACCCCUGGAUUUCAUAAAAUCAUAGCACCGUUGAUGUUGGAAAGACCAUUAAGAUCAUCCAGCUCAACCAACAACCCAUGCCUGCAACCGCUCUAGACCAUGUCACUCAGCGUGACUAAUUUCACAUCUAUUCUAUUAAAAAUAAUAUCUAUGUUGCCCAACAUUUUCUGAGCAACUUCAGAUUUUCCCUCUGAAAGGCUGAUUUCAGACUCAGAACAAGAGAAAAUGUUUUCUUUUUGUUUUCUUCAGAGAAAUAUGCCGUGCUCUCCUGGGAAAGGGUAAACAGAAAGGCCAACACUGGGUUACAUUUAUUUAUUUAUUCCCCUAUGCAUCUCUCAGUCCUGUGUACCAUGGGCUCCAUGCAUUCAAAAGUGAUGGACUACAGAAAAAAGAAAAUGAAAUGAAGAAGAAAACUCACAGUUGGUGUGCCAGAACAGCAACAAGCAGGAGCAACUUUGUCCCUGCAAAGAGCUGAGCACCUGUCUUGCAGAAGCUGUGAGCAGACAGCCAACCCAUGCCUUCCUGUUAUCUCAGGGUAACGCGCUAUAACAGUCUACCAAGAGGAUUCACAUCAUGGACAUGAACGCACUCACAUACGUUCUUCUCCCCACUAUUCCCUCAACAUGAAGAUGAAGUUUCUCAGGAGACAAAGAACUGUUCAACACUGUUAUGAAAUCGAGGACAGAAAUCCAACUGGGAUAAUGUGCAAAGCGUGUGGAAUUAAGGCAAGAAUCACAGAAUUGCAGGAAUUGGAAGAGACCUCAAGAGUCCAACCCCUGCUAAAGCAGGUUCCCUACAACAGGUCACACAGGUGGGCGUUGAAAUAGUUCUUGAAUAUCCCUGAAUAUCCCUGGAGAAAGAGACUCCACAACUUCUCUGGGCAGCCUGAUCCAGUGCUCUAUCACUCUUACUGUAAAGAAGUUCUUCCACAUGUUAGUACAGAACUUCCUAUGCUCAGGUUUUAGGCCAUUACUCCUUGUCCUAUCACUACGCACCACUAAGAAGAGCCUGGCCUCAUUCAUUUGCUUCCCACCUCCCUUUAGAUAUUUAUAAACAUUAAUCAGAUCCCUUCUAAGUCUUCUUUUCCCUAGGUUAAACAGACCCAUGUUACUCAGCCUUUCCUCAUACGGGAGAUGCUCCAGGCUCUUUAUCAUCUUUAUCAUUCAGAAAAGCUUAGGGCUGAAGACAGAAGAUUUUGCUGUGUAUUUCCAUUCCAUGCUGUGCUUGAUGGAGCAGUAAGGCAACAUUUUAGUUUGAACAUGGAGACAAGCCUCUGUUGCAGAGCAAUACAUCUAUGGGCUGGCUUCCCAUCUGGCACAAAUAAUUGCCUCAGUCUAUAGUGAAAUUGGUCAACCAUAGAAUCCUCUAUAGUUAGUGGCGUAAGGAAAUUCUACAGAAUACUCUGUUUAGAGCUUCAGAAUUCAGAGCACACAUCACAGGAUAUCAGUGUGACUGCUUUUACCCCUUGAUUACGAGGGGAAGUUAAGGGUGAUUAUGUCCCUACAUUACGUGCCUUAAUCUGAUGGGAACAGUGCUGGUAUAAACAUCAGCUGCCUGAGAAAUUUACUGCAAACAUCAUGCAGAGGGUCCUUAUUUUCUUUUCCUCUCUCACCAUGGACUCAAUCUUUCCCUUUCUCCCCCUUCUAUAAAUCUGCAGACACACACUGAGGCAUUUUAUAUCAGAAAUAUAGGACUUGUUUAGAUAAACAUUUUGCCAUUACUGAUCUAACAGUUACCAUCACCAUUUUCAGUAUAAGGAAAUUCAUCAAAUUUUUGUUCUUAAAGCAGGAGAAUUCAUCUGAACCAUGAACAAAGCAGUCCAUACUGGAGUUCAGGAUUAUCUUUUUACUUCUUUCUUUGUGGACUGAAAGUAUGGAGAGGAUAAAACAAAAACAAAAACAAAAGAAACAAAAACAACCUGAAGAAGAGCCUUUGCGAAUAUAUGAUUUAUGGAAAAAAAAUGUGUAAUACGGAAUGUCAGCUCUUCUGGAGGUCUUUUGCCUUUUGGCACUCUCCAUUCAAAGGAGCACCCAAGAUUCCCAGUAUAAUCUGUGGUAUGCAUGUAUGUCUAUUUGUCAUAGCUGCUCCCAGUGGGAGUUUUAGUGCUGAAUGAAGUGUCAGUAAAGGUGCACUGCCAAUGACCAUAUUCAAACAUCCUUUCAUUAAUGCAACCUUACAGUGAUCUUAGCUCUGUCCAUGUUCCUAAGAAUUUAUUCGGAAUUACACCUUGUCUAUCUUUCCAUGAAGAUGAUGGUUGAUUAAAUGUCUGGAAAACCUUCUAAGUGUCUUUGUUUCUGUUCCACUGAAUAAGUGCUGCAACUGUUGUACGGACAGGAGAAAUAGAUAUGAAGAAGCCUUCACAACAAGGAAGGCAUUUGUGGUGUAGGUAUUUCUUUGUUUCCAAUCUGGAGCCCACUAAAUCAGCAAAGUCCCACCCAGCACUUGCUAGAAAGUGUUUUUUAGUCACUCCAGUCUGAGGUGUCUGGCACAUGUAUUUUGCUGCCCACUUUGCAUUUCUUUACUUUAGAACCUUGAAUUUGGAGUUACUUCCACAAAUGUACACCUUUAAUUUUUCACUUAAAGUAGGAUUUCAAAGAGAUUCUCUGAUUACAGCUAAAGUGGCAGUACAAGAAUACUCCUUAAUUCCUGAGUCUUGAUCCACAUCCUCACCGGGUCCAGUUCUGCAGGGCACUAUCUCCUCUCUCUCCCCAUCCCACUACAGCACGCUACUUUCCAUGAGCAGGAAGAAUCACUGAGCAGAAAAGGAUUGGAGGUAUCUUGUUAGCAGAAGCCUAAAUUCCCAGUCCAUGAACGUACACCUCCACUGCAUGACAUAGAAAUCUUUGCUCACAGUUCACAAAUACUUGCUCUGAGCCCAUCCAAGUUUGAUUGAUUGGUCAAUGUCCAUAAUAUUUAUUAUUAAUAUUAAUAUUAAACAAUGAGUUUUCUUCCAUUUAACAAAACUAAAUGGAUGGUGAUCAAAUGAAAUGAAAUAACUGGCUGAAAAUUUGGGAUGAACAGAGUUCCUUCAGCCAUCAGUUCUAGCAACCUGAUGUUCUUGCUCUCUCUUCAGUGUACUGAGACAAGAAUUUAGAGAUCAUUUCCAUUUAUCUUUCAUUUGUUCAUGUAGAAAAUAACAAACUAAAAAUUUGUAUCUGAGCAAUUUGUGAAAUGAGAAUUUUUCUAAUUCAGCAUAUGUGUCUCUUUUUAUCAUUUCAGUGGCUGAACAUCCAUACCAUCAAUGGAAAUGGAGACUAAGUCUUUAUCUGAGUCCAUAUCACAUCUAUGGGAGUUUUUCCAUUGACCUCAAUGGGUCAAAGGGAUCAAGUAUUUUAUUUUAUUUUAUUUUAUUUUAUUUUAUUUUAUUUUAUUUUAUUUUAUUUUAUUAUUUUAUUUUUUUGUUAGAAUUUCUUUCCAUCAAGUUGGAGAAACAGGAUGUAAAUAUUGAGUCACCGUCCCCAUUGCUAACCAUGCACCAAGAUUAGCCAGUUGGACUUGGUGUGGGACUUACCUCCUAAGAGGUCAUGAUCCCCGUGACCGAGGAGCCCAUUCAGGUAGGGAUGAGUGAAUUUUUGCUUUGAAAUAGAUGUCAUCCAUCAGUAGAUACUACAAGCAAGACCUCAAGUUCCAGAAAUUUCAACACUUUCAAGUCAAGGUAAUAUCCAUUUGCUCUGCUGAAUUCAGAUCUUUAAUUUUAGAGCAGGCAGGACUUUGCAGCCUGGAAUACAUUAACACAGAGAAACAAUCAUUUAAUGUAGUAGCCAAGUAGUCAGGUCACUGACAAUUUACAGAGUAAAUACUUAGAAAUAGUCUCUAUCUUUAUUGGUGUUUAUAUUCAGAGAUAAUUAGUAACUUGUGCACAGACACAAAGUAAUUGAUGUAAUGAUUUAUUUUGAACUUGUUCUUCUCUUGCAAGAGCUGCUUACACAAGGGCAUACAUUAGCUGGUUUGUUGAAAAUAUUUAAUUUUGUAACUCUUUGCUGACCAAGUAUAAAGGCCUAGCACUAAUUGUACAUGUGGAGAAUUGACUUCAAAAUGCUGCUCAAUGAGAAGAGAAAACCUAGUGCAGAGAUGUCCAAAGUGAUGCUUGCUGUGAUACAAGGGGGUGUACUCUUCUCUCCUGUAAAUUACCAUCAUCAGAGUGAGGAUCAUAAGACAGGGGAGGUCACAAGAGGGAAAGUAGCCAUACUGCUACGCAUCUUCAUCCUCUUCUUCUCCUUACAAACAAUGCACUCCCUGUCAGCUUAGUCCUUAUUUCUGCAUGAAAGUGCAUGAGUGCCAGUGGAGAAGGUAAGCCUUUAUUUUGUCCGUGGAAUGGGGUGUGGGGAAUAUCCCGUUCAAGGUUUUAUAUGGCGUAGUGGUUCAGGAAGCACUGCUAAUAUUGCAGGUAGCAACAGUGAGAAGCUAAGCGAUGUAUCACGUUUUCUUUUUGAUUCAUGCUUAUGAUUCAGGGCUGGGAUCCAUCCUGGACUGCUGCUGGUUUGGGCUGUUGGUGAUAAAAUGCCAAAGCGCAGCUCGUUUUACAACUUACAUCUAUUGAAACUGCCAACAGAGCUCCACUGAUGGAGAGUCACACUCUUCCCAACAGCUUUUAGAGCUCAGUGAAACCAAAGCUGCGAAGAAGAUGUAAUAAAAGAAACUGAAGAGGAAGUGAAAGGGAAGAAGACUGUGUGAUUUUUGAGGAAGAAUCUACAUGCAGCUGAAGCCAGUUGGCUUCAUGGAGGGCGUACAAAAGGGAGCAAUGAAGAGAGUGGAUUUCCAGUCACACAAGAACGCAGUGCUUUAACAAUGGCAACAGAUAUCCUCGGCUUAAUGUUUUGUCGUAAUACAUGGAAAGUAAGAAACAGUCCAUUGAUACUGAGCACUUUAAUGAAUAAAAAAAAAAAACGAAAAAAGGUUUCAUUCCAGACUUUAAGAAUGCCAAUAUUGUGUAAUAAAAAUGGUAAACAGAAUGUUCGGAGCUUUUGCUUUGAGUCCCAAAAUGAAAAAAGAUGAAGCUUUAUUACUUUUUUUUUUUUUUAAUACAGUCUAGAGCCUUUCACUUUGGCUGCUAAUACAAAGAUGAUGGGAUAUAACACUGUGACACAGCAGCUGCCUUUUCAAUGAGGAAAGAGCCUCCAAACUUUGGUUUGCUAGUAUGACAUUCACCAAGAGACUAUUUAAUAAAAAAACAUGUAGUAUGAGGUCAGGUAUCUACAAGCUGGAUCCGGAUCCAUUAGUACAAAUGGACUUCAAAGCUUUGAUCCAUCCGUUUCAAACUGAAGGGAUCGUGUUGGCAUGUUUUGAGAGAAUAGACAUAUGCUCUGGAUGUCCAUGUUCCUCUUCAUCAAAAUCACUUCUGUGUGGUCAAGAGGAAGCAAGUGUGAGGAUGACUUGAGACGGGCAGUGGGUGCCCAUCUUCAUGCGCUGUACAUUGAGAAUGGCUAAAAAACAAAAAUGAAUUGGAACAGCCAGAAUUCUGAGGAAAAUACCUUAACGCUGGGGAUAUUCAGUUGGAGAACCUCUGUUCAUAACCCUGAGUCAGGGAGCAGGGGUAUUUGAACUGAAGUCAAAAGUAAGUUAACCUAUUGCCUGUGCACUAGGGAGGUAAGGUAGGCUCCAAAACCAGUCCCGCUUUGCAAAAGAGGCCCAAUUUUCCCUGGGAAACCAACCCCGUCCGAUAGAGAUGGUUUGCAUCACAAAUCUCAGCAUUGAGCACAGAUAAUGCUGGGGACUACCCACUGACAAAUUAAAGGUGUACCCAACCCCUCAUUUCCAUAUACAUUCAUUUUAUCAGCAUUGCCACAGGUACAAAAAGAAGGACAAGCACGUGGGAAGUUCCCAAACCUUUGAUUACACAGUACGACGGCACAUUUAUUACCUAGACUCACUGGCUGCUAUCUGUGUCAUUUACUUGGGUGGCUUGUUCUGCCAAGUCCACAUAAGUCAUCAGGAGAAAUGCAAACACGUUUCCAACUUUUAAUAUGAAUUAGAGUCACGGCACAGGCUCUCUCAUGCUUCACUUCUAUGGAAAAUACUUUUUUCUUAUUUUGUACCCGGCAGUUUUCCUCCUACACAUCGUGCAGACAAAUAAACAGCCAUACAAUCUAGCCAAGGAGGUUAGCAGGCCUGAUACUGUGCUGAGCCAGUCUUUUACAUAUGUUAUAUAUUCACCUUUUGUCUGGCAUCUGCAUUGCACUUGGGAAAACACUCGCACGCAAAGGGAUGGGCUCUGGGGAAUGGAGAAACAUUAUCUAGCACGGGAAUACUCAAUUAAUUUUCAGCAAGCAGCUUUUAUAAUACAUAACAUACACUUAACAUAAUACACUUUGGUCUCGUGCCAGAGAUUUUAAAUGAUUAGGCUGUAUCAAUUUACUCUUGAAACACUGAUUAAAAUCUCAAAACUUUCAUAGCAAAUGAUGCAUGAACCAGAAUCUGAAAUGUGAUGAUUGAAAUAUUGCAAUGUCACAGAUUCAUCACACAGCCUUUCCAAAUCUACUCUUGGUUUCAGCUGGCCCCUUAAAUGUUCUGCUCACGCGUCCCAGUGAUCAACUCUUUUCUCUCGCUUCAUCUCCCCCUCCCCAGCCCUUCACUUCUUGGAAAGAUAAUAGCCAGGCCUUAAUUGAAGCAAACAGGUCAUUAAAAUAGUAAUUUUGUAGACAUUUGCACUGACAGACAUUCAUUCACUGCCAAAGACAAGCAAAGAAUCAAGGACUGGAUAUUGCAUGCACAUUAAUUCUACCAUGGGCCCAAUCAAAGUUAAACAUCCUCCUCCCUUCUUACUGUGAGAAAUUUCCACUGGGCACAGAAUUAAAACAAAGAAAACCAAAAAAUAACAAUUCAGCUCUUGCCCUGUGAAUCACACCUUGAAGCAGGCUUUGUCAAACAACGUCACACCUUCUCCAUUGAGAAGGAGGACUCCCAUCUCCCAUUCCUUGGUACACACUCACAUCUAUCAGCUAUUGCAGAUAAGACAGGUCAAGUCACCCCAAUUACUUUUACGAUCUCUCUGUAGGACGGCUCUCAUCACAACAUCAGUAAAAUGCAUUUUUUUUUCUCACCGGAAUCCAGACACUCCAAGCCAAAUUUCCUGCUGUGUAAAGCACCGUGUCCAACGACAUGGCCUGACCUAGAAACCACCACACUGGAGUUUUCUUGAAAUGUUAGUUUAGUAGUGAGCCACAGCAAUAAAUCUAGUAUUGGGUCUCAAAAGUCUGUACAAAUAAGUACACUUGGCCUUCUUUGAGUUGCUGCUUCCAGGACUUUUCCCCAGCUGUAAACCUGCACUGCCUCCAGGGAAGGCGAUGUAUGACCCCGGUAGGCGGCUGGUGAGGGCAUCCUGACUUGCCCCAGGUGGGAGGGCAGGUAGCUGAGCUUGGGCUCAUCCUGUCUGACUCCAGGUCAAGUUCAGAGUCUUAUAACACCAGGAUUUCCCCCCCCCCCACAAUCAGUGGAAGGAGGCACCACCAGUGCCCGUCAGCACUCAAAUGAAGAUACACUUCUGCUGUCCACAGUGACUCUGGAGAGAACUGAGCUAACAAAGCAUUCAAUUACAUGUGUAAAAUGAGGCAGGGUGACCAG
Molecule: long non-coding RNA, 7862 nt
Organism: Gallus gallus (chicken)
Lineage: Eukaryota; Metazoa; Chordata; Aves; Galliformes; Phasianidae
Exons: 5
Source: RefSeq, a predicted model, not a curated record